Molecule: non-coding RNA, 54 nt
Organism: Salmo salar (Atlantic salmon)
Lineage: Eukaryota; Metazoa; Chordata; Actinopteri; Salmoniformes; Salmonidae
Source: Rfam
UAUGUACUCUACUGUAAGUCGCUCUGGAUAAGAGUGUCUGCUGAAUGACUAAAA